This 72-nucleotide transfer RNA is filed under the name Colomesus asellus (Amazon puffer). RNAcentral's name for it is "tRNA-Thr". It matches the Rfam family "tRNA". Rfam says of the family: Transfer RNA (tRNA) molecules are approximately 80 nucleotides in length. Their secondary structure includes four short double-helical elements and three loops (D, anti-codon, and T loops). Further hydrogen bonds mediate the characteristic L-shaped molecular structure. tRNAs have two regions of fundamental functional importance: the anti-codon, which is responsible for specific mRNA codon recognition, and the 3' end, to which the tRNAs corresponding amino acid is attached (by aminoacyl-tRNA synthetases). tRNAs cope with the degeneracy of the genetic code in two manners: having more than one tRNA (with a specific anti-codon) for a particular amino acid; and 'wobble' base-pairing, i.e. permitting non-standard base-pairing at the 3rd anti-codon position. The record is from RNAcentral. Lineage: Eukaryota; Metazoa; Chordata; Actinopteri; Tetraodontiformes; Tetraodontidae.
GCAUUAGUAGCUCAGACGUAGAGCACCGGUCUUGUAAACCGGAGGCCGGGGGCUAAAUUCCCCCCUACUGCU